RNAcentral lists this long non-coding RNA (611 nucleotides) under Capsicum annuum. RNAcentral's name for it is "long non-coding RNA (CANN_LNC006263)". The record is from RNAcentral. Lineage: Eukaryota; Viridiplantae; Streptophyta; Magnoliopsida; Solanales; Solanaceae.
UUAUUUAAGCGAAAGAUUAUUCUUUGUAAUAAUAUUACUAUUUGACAGAUUUCGAAUUCAGUAAAAGAAUUCCUUUGCUUUCUUUUUCGGUGACCGCUUAUCUCUAUGUUUAAAGAUUGUAAUAAUGUUACUAUUCACUUUAAUGUUACUACUUGUAAUGUUUUCUUAUAUAUUCAUUUUGUAGGAACUAACUACUUGUUAGCUUUAUAUAAUUUAGAUGUCAGGCAAAGGUAACAAAGGUAAGGAAAAAGUUAUUCUUAUGAAAACAAAAAAGAAAAAACAACAUCCGCCGUAUAGAUGACCGACAGGUAUUCAUAUAUCCGAGGGUCGGUUUGCUGAAGCGAUAGCACGAACCUCAUAUUCUAGGUUGUUUCAUCAUUCGGUUCCUACUCCUACGCAUGUGGGGCCACUUUAGGGGUCUACACCGACUCAUUCUGCUCCUACAGGGUAAGAUUUCUAAAUAUAAUAACACUAUUCAUUUUGUCACUACUAUAUUAUUAUGCUCUAUGAAAUUACUGUUUGUUGUAGGUUUAGAACUGAUGCUGGAGUUGGACAAACUGUGAGAAAAUGAAUUUUUCAGAACUUCAACGGCUACUAGACCAGUUGGCAAA